Molecule: long non-coding RNA, 1986 nt
Filed under: Salmo salar (Atlantic salmon)
Lineage: Eukaryota; Metazoa; Chordata; Actinopteri; Salmoniformes; Salmonidae
Description: lncRNA (ENSSSAG00000090341.1)
Source: RNAcentral
GCCCUCUGGUCCUCCUGGUGGUUUAACUACAAUGUUAGCUGUAGGCCAGUCCUCUGGUCCUCCUGGUGUUAUAACUACAAUGUUAGCUGUAGGCCAGCCCUCUGGUCCUCCUGCUGUUAUAACUACAAUGUUAGCUGUAGGCCAGCCCUCUGGUCCUCCUGCUGUUAUAACUACAAUGUUAGCUGUAGGCCAGCCCUCUGGUCCUCCUGGUGUUAUAACUACAAUGUUAGCUGUAGGCCAGUCCUCUGGUCCUCCUGCUGUUAUAACUACAAUGUUAGCUGUAUGCCAGCCCUCUGGUCCUCCUGGUGGUUUAACUACAAUGUUAGCUGUAGGCCAGUCCUCUGGUCCUCCUGCUGUUAUAACUACAAUGUUAGCUGUAGGCCAGCCCUCUGGUCCUCCUGGUGGUUUAACUACAAUGUUAGCUGUAGGCCAGCCCUAUGGUCCUCCUGCUGUUAUAACUACAAUGUUAGCUGUAGGCCAGUCCUCUGGUCCUCCUGGUGGUUUAACUACAAUGUUAGCUGUAGGCCAGUCCUCUGGUCCUCCUGGUGGUUUAACUACAAUGUUAGCUGUAGGCCAGCCCUCUGGUCCUCCUGGUGGUUUAACUACAAUGUUAGCUGUAGGCCAGCCCUCUGGUCCUCCUGCUGUUAUAACUACAAUGUUAGCUGUAGGCCAGUCCUCUGGUCCUCCUGGUGGUUUAACUACAAUGUUAGCUGUAGGCCAGUCCUCUGGUCCUCCUGGUGGUUUAACUACAAUGUUAGCUGUAGGCCAGCCCUAUGGUCCUCGAGGGGGUUUAACUACAAUGUUAGCUGUAGGCCUGUCCUCUGGUCCUCCUGGUGGUUUAACUACAAUGUUAGCUGUAGGCCAGCCCUCUGGUCCUCCUGGUGGUUUAACUACAAUGUUAGCUGUAGGCCAGCCCUAUGGUCCUCCAGGUGGUUUAACUACAAUGUUAGCUGUAGACCUGUCCUCUGGUCCUCCUGGUGGUUUAACUACAAUGUUAGCUGUAGGCCAGCCCUCUGGUCCUCCUGGUGGUUUAACUACAAUGUUAGCUGUAGGCCAGUCCUCUGGUCCUCCAGGUGGUUUAACUACAAUGUUAGCUGUAGGCCAGCCCUCUGGUCCUCCUUGUGGUUUAACUACAAUGUUAGCUGUAGGCCAGCCCUCUGGUCCUCCUGCUGUUAUAACUACAAUGUUAGCUGUAGGCCUGCCCUCUGGUCCUCCUGCUGUUAUAACUACAAUGUUAGCUGUAGGCCAGCCCUCUGGUCCUCCUUGUGGUUUAACUACAAUGUUAGCUGUAGGCCAGCCCUCUGGUCCUCCUGGUAGUUUAACUACAAUGUUAGCUGUAGGCCUGCCCUCUGGUCCUCCUGGUGGUUUAACUACAAUGUUAGCUGUAGGCCAGCCCUAUGGUCCUCCUGGUGGUUAUAACUACAAUGUUAGCUGUAGGCCAGCCCUCUGGUCCUCCUGCUGUUAUAACUACAAUGUUAGCUGUAGGCCUGCCCUCUGGUCCUCCUGCUGUUAUAACUACAAUGUUAGCUGUAGGCCUGCCCUCUGGUCCUCCUGCUGUUAUAACUACAAUGUUAGCUGUAGGCCUGUCCUCUGGUCCUCCUGGUGGUUUAACUACAAUGUUAGCUGUAGGCCAGCCCUCUGGUCCUCCUGGUGUUGUAACUACAAUGUUAGCUGUAGGCCUGUCCUCUGGUCCUCCUGGUGGUUUAACUACAAUGUUAGCUGUAGGCCUGUCCUCUGGUCCUCCUGGUGGUUUAACUACAAUGUUAGCUGUAGGCCUGCCCUCUGGUCCUCCUGGUGGUUUAACUACAAUGUUAGCUGUAGGCCUGUCCUCUGGUCCUCCUGCUGUUAUAACUACAAUGUUAGCUGUAGGCCUGUCCUCUGGUCCUCCUGCUGUUAUAACUACAAUGUUAGCUGUAGGCCAGCCCUCUGGUCCUCCUGCUGUUAUAACUACAAUGUUAGCUGUAGGCCUGUCCUCUGGUCCUCCUG